GACGAACGCUGGCGGCGUGCUUAACACAUGCAAGUCGAACGGAAAGGCCCUGCUUUUGUGGGGUGCUCGAGUGGCGAACGGGUGAGUAACACGUGAGUAACCUGCCCUUGACUUUGGGAUAACUUCAGGAAACUGGGGCUAAUACCGGAUAGGAGCUCCUGCUGCAUGGUGGGGGUUGGAAAGUUUCGGCGGUUGGGGAUGGACUCGCGGCUUAUCAGCUUGUUGGUGGGGUAGUGGCUUACCAAGGCUUUGACGGGUAGCCGGCCUGAGAGGGUGACCGGCCACAUUGGGACUGAGAUACGGCCCAGACUCCUACUGGAGGCAGCAGUGGGGAAUAUUGCACAAUGGGCGGAAGCCUGAUGCAGCAACGCCGCGUGCGGGAUGACGGCCUUCGGGUUGUAAACCGCUUUCGCCUGUGACGAAGCGUGAGUGACGGUAAUGGGUAAAGAAGCACCAGCUAACUACGUG
RNAcentral lists this ribosomal RNA (468 nucleotides) under uncultured bacterium. RNAcentral's name for it is "partial 16S ribosomal RNA". It matches the Rfam family "Bacterial small subunit ribosomal RNA", at positions 28 to 507 of the family's 1533-position model. The record is from RNAcentral.